CCUACGGGGGGCUGCAGUGGGGAAUAUUGCACAAUGGGGGGAAACCCUGAUGCAGCAACGCCGCGUGAGCGAUGAAGGCCUUCGGGUCGUAAAGCUCUGUCCUAAGGGAAGAAUACUGACGGUACCUUAGGAGGAAGCCCUGGCUAACUACGUGCCAGCAGCCGCGGUAAUACGUAGGGGGCUCGCGUUAUCCGGAAUUACUGGGCGUAAAGGGUGCGUAGGCGGCCCUUCAAGACAGAGGUGAAAGGCUACGGCUCAACCGUAGUAAGCCUUUGAAACUGUAGUGCUUGAGUGCAGGAGAGGAGAGGGGACUUCCCAGUGUUGCGCUGAUAUGCGUUGAUAUGGGGUGGGACAGGAGUUGCGAAGGCGGCUGUCUGGAAUGUAAUUGACGCUGUGGCUCGAAAGCGUGGGGAGCGAACAGGAUUAGAUACCCUUGUAGUC
RNAcentral lists this ribosomal RNA (441 nucleotides) under uncultured bacterium. RNAcentral describes it as "bacterial SSU rRNA". It matches the Rfam family "Bacterial small subunit ribosomal RNA", at positions 338 to 795 of the family's 1533-position model. The record is from RNAcentral.